UACGUAGGGUGCGAGCGUUGUCCGGAAUUAUUGGGCGUAAAGGGCUCGUAGGCGGUUUGUCGCGUCGGGAGUGAAAUCCACUGGCUUAACUGGGGGCUUGCUUUCGAUACGGGCAGACUGGAGGUAUGCAGGGGAGAACGGAAUUCCUGGUGUAGCGGUGAAAUGCGCAGAUAUCAGGAGGAACACCGGUGGCGAAGGCGGUUCUCUGGGCAGGUACUGACGCUGAGGAGCGAAAGUGUGGGGAGCGAACAGG
Molecule: ribosomal RNA, 253 nt
Filed under: uncultured bacterium
Lineage: Bacteria
Description: partial 16S ribosomal RNA
Rfam family: Bacterial small subunit ribosomal RNA
Source: RNAcentral